RNAcentral lists this long non-coding RNA (511 nucleotides) under Lotus japonicus. Its description in RNAcentral is "long non-coding RNA (LJAP_LNC000554)". The record is from RNAcentral. Lineage: Eukaryota; Viridiplantae; Streptophyta; Magnoliopsida; Fabales; Fabaceae.
UAAGGAAAGAAACAACCUUUCAGAAGUAUAUUACCAAAAUAUUCGAAAAUCAUAUUUUAAAUAGAACAAUGAGAGGCAAAAUGCAGCUUACCUCUGGGUAUGGCCCUCAAAGGAGUUUUCCCUCAUUUCAAACCCAAAAACCUGUGAGUAAAGAUAGUAACCAAAGGGAAAUGGAUAGAACCUUGAACAUCUUCAAGACUAAAAUGUACUCUCAAUAAACAACUUUGGAACAUAAAAUUAAUCACUUUAAUUAGUGCUUACUUGGGGGAUAACAGGGGAUGAAGCUCUACAUGAGAAACCACCAUCUUCCCUCCUUCUCUUGAGAGAAAAACUGUCACCACCAUAAGAUGGUGUUGCAAAAUCAGAAACCAUGUUUGGUGUCACAGGAAAAUUAGCAUCAGCACCCCCACCUCCAAAUGACCGAAUGCACUAUGUUCCAUUUUCUGAUGAUCAUAACCACCAUGUUCCUCCUCCUCACCGCACUAAAGAAAUCUAACGAAAGGAGUUCCUU